This 253-nucleotide ribosomal RNA is filed under the name uncultured bacterium. RNAcentral describes it as "partial 16S ribosomal RNA". It matches the Rfam family "Bacterial small subunit ribosomal RNA", at positions 524 to 776 of the family's 1533-position model. The record is from RNAcentral.
UACGUAGGGGGCUAGCGUUGUCCGGAAUCAUUGGGCGUAAAGCACGCGUAGGCGGCCCGGUAAGUCCGCUGUGAAAGUCCAGGGCUCAACCCUGGAAAGCCGGUGGAUACUGCCGGGCUAGAGUCCGGAAGAGGCGAGUGGAAUUCCUGGUGUAGCGGUGGAAUGCGCAGAUAUCAGGAGGAACACCAAUAGCGAAGGCAGCUCGCUGGGACGGUACUGACGCUGAGGUGCGAAAGCGUGGGGAGCAAACAGG